This 483-nucleotide long non-coding RNA is filed under the name Monodelphis domestica (gray short-tailed opossum). RNAcentral describes it as "lncRNA (ENSMODG00000042030.1)". Lineage: Eukaryota; Metazoa; Chordata; Mammalia; Didelphimorphia; Didelphidae. The record is from RNAcentral.
GUUCCACAGUUAAAUUCAAGUUUAAGUUCGUCUCUCCUUGACCUUCCAGACAUUGACGAAUUUCCCCUCUGCCCAGACUGCUUGCGAAUGAAGGGAGAAGACUGGGGAAGCAAAGAAAAUCGGGAAACAAGAUUGCGUGGCCUCCCCCAUUUCCUGAAACCAUCAAAAAAGAAGAUGAUUCUAGAAACUCCAGCACAUUUACGAGUCCCCCUCAUGGACUUUAUGCACGACAAGUGGAUACAAUCAAGAGUCAAGAUUCCGAAGGACAUUGUCAGUGAGGACAUUGAAGCAGAAAAUGUCCAAUACAGACUGCCAAUGAGGGACAUCUGGUGUCCCAGGAAGCCCUUCCAGACACUAUACACUGACCUUUUAACUCACCGUAAAAGGACGGACAGUUACAAAAAACAUGCUUCUCCAGAUCCAAAGAGUAUGUGGGCAGAAUUCAACAUUACAAAAAUUCCUAAACACAGUAAAUUCCACUGA